CAGCUUCAACUUCCUCCCAGCUCCUGAAGCUAUUUUAAAGAGCAGCCAAACUUGGAGCCAAGGCCAAGAGUAAUCAGAGAGAAAAGACCCAUCAGCAUCAGUCAUUUCUCAGAUGACAGAGGAAUUCCCAAAAGGGCCAUGUUUUCCCACUUACAAAUUCAUGUGCUUGACAUGAAACUGGCAGCAGUGGUUGGAAUGGAUGAGCAGAGCUAUCUCAGUGUUUAGACAACAGACAGAAGAGGACAACAGAAGUUGGAUAUGAUAGUGGUUAUUCAGUCAGUGGCUCUCUUCUCUAAGGCUUGCCAGUCUGCCAAGGAGCUCCAGUAAAGUCAGACCACAGACAGCAGAUAUGCUGUCCAAAGGAAUCAUAUAUUUCAUCAUCUAGCAGAACACAUUUCAACCUGAGAAGUAUCCUCCCAUGGAUGGGCAACAAAUUGAAUUCUUCUCACUUCAAACUGAUUCUCAUCUUGUAAUAUUAUUUUUUUUUAUAAAAUAUCUCUCUUUGGAAUAAAAGUUGUCCUUUCUGCUUG
This is a long non-coding RNA of Parus major (Great Tit), 530 nucleotides long. RefSeq lists it as uncharacterized. NCBI's taxonomy places the organism in Eukaryota, Metazoa, Chordata, Aves, Passeriformes, Paridae. The transcript has 4 exons. The record is from RefSeq and is a predicted model, not a curated record.